This 466-nucleotide ribosomal RNA is filed under the name uncultured bacterium. RNAcentral's name for it is "partial 16S ribosomal RNA". It matches the Rfam family "Bacterial small subunit ribosomal RNA", at positions 28 to 507 of the family's 1533-position model. The record is from RNAcentral.
GAUGAACGCUGGCGGCGUGCUUAACACAUGCAAGUCGAACGGAAAGGCUCCUGCUUGCAGGGGUACUCGAGUGGCGAACGGGUGAGUAACACGUGGGUGAUCUGCCCUGCACUUCGGGAUAAGCCUGGGAAACUGGGUCUAAUACCGGAUAGGACGAUGGUUUGGAUGCCAUUGUGGAAAGUUUUUUCGGUGUGGGAUGAGCUCGCGGCCUAUCAGCUUGUUGGUGGGGUAAUGGCCUACCAAGGCGUCGACGGGUAGCCGGCCUGAGAGGGUGUACGGCCACAUUGGGACUGAGAUACGGCCCAGACUCCUACGGGAGGCAGCAGUGGGGAAUAUUGCACAAUGGGCGCAAGCCUGAUGCAGCGACGCCGCGUGGGGGAUGACGGCCUUCGGGUUGUAAACUCCUUUCGCUAGGGACGAAGCGCAAGUGACGGUACCUGGAGAAGAAGCACCAGCUAACUACGUG